This 250-nucleotide ribosomal RNA is filed under the name uncultured prokaryote. RNAcentral's name for it is "partial 16S ribosomal RNA". It matches the Rfam family "Bacterial small subunit ribosomal RNA", at positions 524 to 774 of the family's 1533-position model. The record is from RNAcentral.
UACGUAGGGGGCGAGCGUUAUCCGGAAUUAUUGGGCGUAAAGAGUACGUAGGUGGUUUGUUAAGCGCAAGGUGAAAGGCAGAGGCUUAACUUCUGUGAGCCUUGUGAACUGGCAGACUUGAGUGCAGGAGGGGAAAGUGGAAUUCCUAGUGUAGCGGUGAAAUGCGCAGAUAUUAGGAGGAACACCGGUGGCGAAGGCGACUUUCUGGACUGUAACUGACACUGAGGUACGAAAGCGUGGGUAGCAAACA